RNAcentral lists this ribosomal RNA (427 nucleotides) under uncultured bacterium. Its description in RNAcentral is "bacterial SSU rRNA". It matches the Rfam family "Bacterial small subunit ribosomal RNA", at positions 355 to 774 of the family's 1533-position model. The record is from RNAcentral.
UGGGGAAUUUUGGACAAUGGGGGCAACCCUGAUCCAGCAAUGCCGCGUGCAGGAAGAAGGCCUUCGGGUUGUAAACUGCUUUUGUACGGAACGAAAAGGCUCUGGUUAAUACCUGGGGCAUAUGACGGUACCGUAAGAAUAAGCACCGGCUAACUACGUGCCAGCAGCCGCGGUAAUACGUAGGGUGCAAGCGUUAAUCGGAAUUACUGGGCGUAAAGCGUGCGCAGGCGGUGCUGUAAGACAGGCGUGAAAUCCCCGGGCUUAACCUGGGAAAGGCGCUUGUGACUGCAGUGCUGGAGUGUGGCAGAGGGGGAUGGAAUUCCGCGUGUAGCAGUGAAAUGCGUAGAUAUGCGGAGGAACACCGAUGGCGAAGGCAAUCCCCUGGGCCUGCACUGACGCUCAUGCACGAAAGCGUGGGGAGCAAACA